Molecule: non-coding RNA, 85 nt
Organism: Fusarium poae
Lineage: Eukaryota; Fungi; Ascomycota; Sordariomycetes; Hypocreales; Nectriaceae
Source: Rfam
UGUCGAUGAUGAGAAACCUUUUCAUUCAGUUCUGCUACUGAACCAAUGUGAUGACUCCAUUAUACCAAACCAAGAUCUCUGAUAU